Molecule: long non-coding RNA, 593 nt
Organism: Capsella rubella
Lineage: Eukaryota; Viridiplantae; Streptophyta; Magnoliopsida; Brassicales; Brassicaceae
Exons: 2
Source: RefSeq, a predicted model, not a curated record
ACCACCUUUGCAACAGUUUGAGAACUGUUGAUUGUAAGGCACACCUGGCAAGAGAUCAACGACCGUGGGGGUUUUCUUACAGCAAUGAGCCUAAUGUCCAACCCGGGUUUUGUAUGUGCCGGUAUAUUUGGAAGUUGUUCAUAGUUACCGUUGCCUGCAAACGCAUAUAAUGUAUAGAGAUGAUGUGAGUUUGUGCAAUGUGCAAGUUUCAAAUGCGCAAACACGUAUUCACAAGUCCGGGAAGCAUUCGUACCACAUAGCCAUCUGCUGUCCAGGACAUGAUAUCCCAUUUGAUUGUAACGUUCCCACUAGGAUCCAAUGGAUCAUAAGCAGCUGGAAAACGAAAUCACACGAAUUAAGAAGAAUGAGUUAAGGUUUUGCAAAAUAGCUGGCGAAAAUGAAUAUUCAGAACUCACUUGCGCAAAAGAUGAUCAUGAAGAAGAAGCAGAAGCAGAAGAAGAGCCUCAUCUUUUGUACUUUAACCUCCAGUUUCUUCUUCUUCAGAAUUUGAAAUUGAUGUGCUUAUGGAUUUAAACAGAAGCUUUUCAAAGAUUAUUGAUGAGUCUUUUUGGUCUGAAGAUGGACUUUACCUA